This 281-nucleotide small RNA is filed under the name Arabidopsis thaliana (thale cress). RNAcentral describes it as "ATSL266050". The record is from RNAcentral. Lineage: Eukaryota; Viridiplantae; Streptophyta; Magnoliopsida; Brassicales; Brassicaceae.
UUAUUAUGUCUGAGUAGUCUGCUUGUUAGAAAUAGGGUUUCUCAUUAGGGAUUCAUAUGGUUUAGUAGAUCGCCCCCUGUUAGGUUAUUUGUAGAAUUCUUCAUCUUUGAUUAUUCUUAAUGCCCACCAUAGGUAUCUGUAGUUUGAUCUAUUAUUUGAUGAACUUAGUUUAUAUGUGUGUAAUAAGAAUCGACCUAUCUACUAAGGUGAACAAUUGAACUCGUUUAGAAUGCAUGUUUAGGUUCAAGAUUUCUUGGCUUCUCCGGUUAUUCUUAGCUAUA